CUCUGGUCCUGUUACUCCCGGCCGGGUGGCCUUCUCACUACACCCUGGACCAGCAAGGUAUCUCAGACAAUAAGUCUGUGCAUGCAUCCGCAGAACUCUAAGGCACAACACAGGGGAAGCUGGAAAGAAGUGAGGUGAGGUGAGGCGAUAUGGCCUUGGCUGGGGCCCCUGCCCUCAAAGAGCAAUCCAGGGCUCUGGCUGGCAGGCGCGGGAAAGGACCUGAAGCAGUGAAGUGAGGCCUGUUCUGGCCGCCUCUCUGGGUUAGGGGUUAAAGAUCCAUGUUUCGGCCUCUUCCUUCUAGCCCCCGAUGGUUGAUGUAAGUCAUGAAACCAGGCAGUAAUAUUCAGCACUUGCCAACCCAGAUCCUUUUCCAAGUUUGUGUUGGCAUGCAAGGUAGAAAGUCAUUCCUUUAUUUCCUCCCCUUCUCCACCAAAAAUAAAUAAAAGAACCUCCAUGCCGCAGGGCUCCUGCAGACGCCUGGCAGGUUUGCUGACCCUGAACUCGGAGCUUUUACCACGAGAACGCCAGCCCCCCAGAGUGGUAUGAAGAUGAUUAUUCUAUGAAUGGAAAAUUCCGCUCGGUUCACACAGCCCUGCAGCCUGCAUCCUUUCAAGACAUGCAGACUUUUCAAGCUCUGAAGAUGGGGAGCCACAGUUCUGAGAAUAACUUUGGCAGGAAAAGUUUAAAAUUGCCAGCUGCUGUGUCUGAUCCCCCUUGGUCAGGCCAGAGAGGCGAUGGCACAGAAGCGGAAGCCUUCUUGCCUCCCAACAUGGUUUUCGGCCCUUGUGGUUGUACGGGGAGAAUAAAAACUUUUAAGGGAUAAGAAUAGGAACAAACACCUUGGCUGGGACCUGCAGCCUGGGUAUGUGGGAAGUGGAGCUGGGAUGGAGAUGCCCCAGAAGGAGGUGGAGAAAUGAGUGUGUCUUGGGGUCCGCCAUGGGCUGUUUCCCCAGGCUGCUCCCCUUGACUGCUAUACGAGGAGUCUGGAAUGAAACAGAUGGAAACAGCCAGUCUGUGAACGUUUCUUCAGGUAUCCGGCAGAGGAAAAGCACGCCACAUGUCCCCUGACGACCUGAAGAUGAAUCCUGACUGCCUGGACAUGCCUGGGCGGGUGUACCCAUGGCCUGUGGUUGAACCAGCCACACCUUGUCUCUUGGCCAGAGGGCACGCAGUGGCAUGGAACCACGCUGACACCUAUCACUGUUAAACGAGGCCAGGACACAGUCUGAUCUCCAUCUCCACUUUUUGUUGUUGUUAAAUGAAACGGAAGAGCAUCUCCCUGCAGAAGUAAACCACGCACAGAGCCCUAAUGACAUCAUUGCUUCAGCCCCUGGAUCCAGCCAGGCCUGAAGCAGGAUAACCCUGGACUUCCCAGUGAGGUGAGCCAUGCAUGUAAGGAAAACGACUCCAAAGUGCUGACUUCAGUCCCUGGGACUCCCUCGCUGCAGGAUGAAGCUGGAGGAGGCUGCAGAGGAGGCAGCCUGACGUCAAGCACACAGCUCACCUCGGAGCUCUGCCUGUCCAGAUGGCCUGAUCCUCAUGUCCCCACCUGGCCUGCUGACUCCCUCCUGGCUGAAGGGUGGAAAUGAAUCCUUGUACGGAAUAAGCCUCUCCGGCCCGACCUGGGAAUGAGUAACAGCUUAGCUGGUGACCUUUGCCCUGGGACGACAGCUCUGGACAGCUGCAGGAGGCUUCGUUGGGAUGGGGGUGGCCCAUUGUGGGGUGCCUGGCAGGAGUCUCUGAGCCAUGUCUUUAGAAGGUACGAGUGCAGGACACAGUUCUUUUGUGGUCUGAGAUCUGUGCUUAGGCAGAGAACUGUGUCCAGAGAGUCAGGCUGUAAAGUGGGGAGCCUCCCGUGAGGGCUGCAGCAUUCCCGUGCAGAUCCCUAAUUUCCAAUCUGGACUCUAGAAGACUUUGGUUCUCUUCCUGGCUCUGGCCUCUGCUGGGACCCUGGAGGUGUCUCCUUUCUCCUUCAAGUUUUUCAUCAGCAAUGCCAGGAUUUGGUAAUGACAUGAGUCCCUCCUGGCUCAGAUAGCCCAGCAUCACUGUCACCCUGGGAUCCCUUUGCUGACAUCCCAGUCCCAGACCAGUAACUGCAGCUCAGAGUACCUGAGGCUCCCCAGCUGUUUCCACGGCUUCCCUGUGCCUCAACCCUUAUGACCUUGUUAUUCCCCAGAAAUUCUGCAGCAUGGCAGGCUGGGCUCCCCGCUCCCUGGGGGAGCCUUGUGCUGUGUCACUUCCUCAGACCCCUGCCUGAGCCUGUCCCCUUGUGGGGGACCAGAGUGUAUACCUCACCUGAGCUAGCUUUCUGUUGCUGCUAUACAUAUUACCACAAACUUAGUGGCUUAGAACCCCACACUGUAUUAUCUUACAGUUCUGGAGGGUCAGAAGUUUGACACAAGUCUCACUGGCCUAAAACCAAGGUGCUGGCAGGUCUGACUCCUUCUGAAGGCUCUAGGGGUAUAUUAGUCUAUUCUCAUGCUGCUUAUAAAGACAUACCCGAGACUGGGUAAUUUAUAAAGAAAAAGAGGUUUAAUGGACUCGCAGUUCCAUAUGGCUGGGGAGGCCUCACAAUUAUGGUGGAAGGCAAAGGAAGAGCAAAGGGAUGUCUUACAUGGCAACAGGCAAGAGAACUUGUACAGGGGAACUCCCAUUUAUAAAACCAUCAGAUCUUGUGAGACUUAUUCACUACCAUGAGAACAGCAUGGGAAAGGCCCACCCCCAUGAUUCAAUUACCUCCCACUGGGUCCUUCCCACGACAUGCGGGGAUUAUGGGAGCUACAAUUCAAGAUGAGAUUUGGAUGGGGACAUAGCCAGUCCAUAUCAAGGGGAGAACCCACUUCCUUGCCUUUUCCAACUUCUAGAGGCUGCCUGCAUUCCUUGGCUCAUGGCCCUUUCCUCCAUCUUCAAAGCCAGCUUUGGGGCUCUGUCACCCUUCUUGUAUUGCAUUUCUAACCCACUCUGCCACCUCCUCCACUUCUAAGGACUCAUGGGUUAGGUUGGGCCCAUCUGGAUAAUGCCACAUAAUCUCCUCAUUUCAAAGCCUUAACUUUCUUCACAUCUGCAAGUCCUGUGAUCAUGUAAGGACACCUUUUCAUGGGUUCUAGGGAUUAGGCUGGGGAUAGUUUUGCCGGGAGCAUUCUUCUGCCUACCACCCCACCCAAUCUGAGGCUUGGGGUUUGCGCAGGGCACCAUGAUAGUUUUCCUCUGGGGUCUCAGCUCAGGUGCUAGAAGGGCACCUCCUCUCUGGAACCCUCUGUGAUUGCACCAGGCAGAGGCAACUGCCCUUCCUCUGGCAACCACCACCCCCAGCACACUUGUCAUGCUUGUGUGACAGUGCCUGUGGGUAGGUCUCCCCUGUUAAUUGGGAACAAGUGGGUAGUGUCAGGCCUCUGAGCCCAAGCUAAGCCAUCAUAUCCCCUGUGACCAGCAUGUAUACAUCCAGAUGGCCUGAAGCAACUGAAGAUCUACAAAAGAAGUGAAAAUAGCCUUAACUGAUGACAUUCCACCAUUGUGAUUUGUUUCUGCCCCACCCUAACUGAUCAAUGUACUUUGUAAUCUCCCCCACCCUUAAGAGGGUUCUUUGUAAUUCUCCCCACCCUUGAGAAUGUACUUUGUGAGAGCCACCCUCUGCCCGAAAAACAUUGCUCCUAACUCCACCGCCUAUCCCAAAACCUAUAAGAACUAAUGAUAAUCCCACCACCCUUUGCUGACUCCUUUUUCGGACUCAGCCCCCCCGCACCCAGGUGAAAUAAACAGCCUUGUUGCUCGCAAAAAGCCUGUUUGGUGGUCUCUUCACACAGACAGGUGAGACAGGUAGAGACCUUACCUUCUUCCCCCGGGGUGC
This 3847-nucleotide long non-coding RNA is filed under the name Homo sapiens (human). RNAcentral's name for it is "HSALNT0168909". The record is from RNAcentral. Lineage: Eukaryota; Metazoa; Chordata; Mammalia; Primates; Hominidae.